CCUGACUGCUAUCGGAUUGAUACUAAGCCAUGCGAGUCAUUGUAGCAAUACAAGGCAGACGGCUCAGUAACGCGUAGUCAACCUACCCUAUGGACGGGGAUAACCUCGGGAAACUGAGAAUAAUACCCGAUAGAACAUUAUACCUGGAAUGGUUUAUGUUUCAAAUAAUUUAUUGCCGUAGGAUGGGACUGCGGCCUAUCAGUUUGUUGGUGAGGUAAUGGCCCACCAAGACUAUUACAGGUACGGGCUCUGAGAGGAGUAGCCCGGAGAUGGGUACUGAGACACGGACCCAGGCCCUAUGGGGCGCAGCAGGCGAGAAAACUUUGCAAUGUGCGAAAGCACGACAAGGUUAAUCCGAGUGGUUUCUGCUAAAGGAACCUUUUGUCAGUCCUAGAAACACUGAUGAAUAAGGGGUGGGCAAGUUCUGGUGUCAGCCGCCGCGGUAAAACCAGCACCUCAAGUGGUCAGGAUGAUUAUUGGGCCUAAAGCAUCCGUAGCCUGCUUUGUUAGUUUUCGGUUAAAUCCAUACGCUCAACGUAUGGGCUGCCGGGAAUACUGCAAAGCUAGGGAGUGGGAGAGGUAGACGGUACUCGGUAGGAAGGGGUAAAAUCCUUUGAUCUAUUGAUGACCACCUGUGGCGAAGGCGGUCUACCAGAACACGUCCGACGGUGAGGGAUGAAAGCUGGGGGAGCAAACCGGAUUAGAUACCCGGGUAGUCCCAGCUGUAAACUAUGCAAACUCGGUGAUGCAUUGGCUUGAUGCCAAUGCAGUGCCGCAGGGAAGCCGUUAAGUUUGCCGCCUGGGAAGUACGUACGCAAGUAUGAAACUUAAAGGAAUUGGCGGGGGAGCACCACAAGGGGUGAAGCCUGCGGUUC
RNAcentral lists this ribosomal RNA (875 nucleotides) under uncultured archaeon. Its description in RNAcentral is "bacterial SSU rRNA". It matches the Rfam family "Archaeal small subunit ribosomal RNA", at positions 21 to 903 of the family's 1478-position model. The record is from RNAcentral.